RNAcentral lists this ribosomal RNA (373 nucleotides) under uncultured organism. Its description in RNAcentral is "partial 16S ribosomal RNA". It matches the Rfam family "Bacterial small subunit ribosomal RNA", at positions 527 to 896 of the family's 1533-position model. The record is from RNAcentral.
GUAGGUGGCAAGCGUUGUCCGGAAUUAUUGGGCGUAAAGCGCGCGCAGGCGGUCCUUUAAGUCUGAUGUGAAAGCCCACGGGCUCAACCGUGGAGGGUCAUUGGAAACUGGGGGACUUGAGUACAGAAGAGGAAAGCGGAAUUCCAAGUGUAGCGGUGAAAUGCGUAGAGAUUUGGAGGAACACCAGUGGCGAAGGCGGCUUUCUGGUCUGUAACUGACGCUGAGGCGCGAAAGCGUAGGGAGCAAACAGGAUUAGAUACCCUGGUAGUCCACGCCGUAAACGAUGAGUGCUAAGUGUUAGGGGGUUUCCGCCCCUUAGUGCUGCAGCUAACGCAUUAAGCACUCCGCCUGGGGAGUACGGCCGCAAAGGCUG